RNAcentral lists this ribosomal RNA (465 nucleotides) under Vreelandella stevensii. RNAcentral's name for it is "partial 16S ribosomal RNA". It matches the Rfam family "Bacterial small subunit ribosomal RNA", at positions 338 to 795 of the family's 1533-position model. Lineage: Bacteria; Pseudomonadati; Pseudomonadota; Gammaproteobacteria; Oceanospirillales; Halomonadaceae. The record is from RNAcentral.
CCUACGGGGGGCUGCAGUGGGGAAUAUUGGACAAUGGGCGAAAGCCUGAUCCAGCCAUGCCGCGUGUGUGAAGAAGGCCUUCGGGUUGUAAAGCACUUUCAGUGGGGAAGAAAGCCUUGGGGCUAAUACCCUCGAGGAAGGACAUCACCCACAGAAGAAGCACCGGCUAACUCCGUGCCAGCAGCCGCGGUAAUACGGAGGGUGCGAGCGUUAAUCGGAAUUACUGGGCGUAAAGCGCGCGUAGGCGGUCUGAUAAGCCGGUUGUGAAAGCCCCGGGCUCAACCUGGGAACGGCAUCCGGAACUGUCAGGCUAGAGUGCAGGAGAGGAAGGUAGAAGUCCCGGUGUAGCGGUGAAAUGCGUAGAGAUCGGGAGGAAUACCAGUGGCGAAGGCGGCCUUCUGGACUGACACUGACGCUGAGGUGCGAAAGCGUGGGUAGCAAACAGGAUUAGAUACCCGUGUAGUC